This 92-nucleotide vault RNA is filed under the name Chelydra serpentina (North American snapping turtle). Its description in RNAcentral is "Vault RNA (ENSCSRG00000016474.1)". It matches the Rfam family "Vault RNA". From Rfam's summary of the family: This family of RNAs are found as part of the enigmatic vault ribonucleoprotein complex. The complex consists of a major vault protein (MVP), two minor vault proteins (VPARP and TEP1), and several small untranslated RNA molecules. Lineage: Eukaryota; Metazoa; Chordata; Testudines; Chelydridae. The record is from Rfam by way of RNAcentral.
UGGCUGGUUCUAGCUCAGCUGUUACUUUGUAAAUGCUCUGGCUGAGCAAACUGCUGGGAGUUCAAGUCCUGUGGGCGCUGCCCUGGCUUUCA